CGCCUGGGCCACCAACAAUGAUGCACUGGAGAAGGCCUUUCUCCAUUCGAUCAUCAACGACCGUGAGACUGGGAGGUCCAGGGGCUUCGGCUUCGUCACCUUCAGCAAUGAGAACGCCAUGAGAGAUGCCCGAAGGCAUGAACGACCAGAACUUCGACGGUCGUAACAUACCGUAAAUGAGGCCCAGUCUUGUGGAAGCUAAAAUGAAAUGUUGUAAUAUGUAUGUGUCUACAUGUAUUGUAUUUUCAGCUGUGGAUAAGGAAUUUUUGGGAUUUUAGAUUUGCUGGCCAAGUUUCCUCUAAAUUCUAUAAAGAUGAAGCAGCCAUUCUGUAUGCAACCUUGGGAUUCUUCUCCAAAGAUUGUCAAGAAACUGUUCAAGGAAAUGAGCCUUAUGGUGAAGUACGGUUUACAUCCUAGUACUUUGAAGGGUGAAUUGUUUAGAGUACUGCUAGAGCAAGGAAUUCAUGGGUUGAAAGUUUCUGAGUUGGCGAAGUCUCAUUGCAGGUCAUUUGGGUACAUAUAUGUCACAGCAGUUUUCUAAAGGCUCAUAUGUUUGGAGAUAAGGUCAUUGUUACCACAAGCACAAUGAUAAUGAGCAGUAUGUGUGGGAGCCGCUCCGAUUCAAUGUUUAUGGUAUGUGGAGUGAUGAAAGAUCAAUUAAUUAUGCAAAUGAAAUGAUGUAAUUGAUUUUGAGUGGUAUGGAGUUGUACACUUUUAUUGUAUCGAUUAUGUAAAUAAAAUGAUGUAGUUGUUAACUUCCAGUAAGUGGUAUGAACAGUAUAACAACUGUUCAUACCUUGCAACUAAGUUGAUUUCUAUGACAUAGUAUUAACAGUGUACUUAUUUUUUCUUGUAGAAGUAUUUCCUUUUGCCUUUGCGAUUAUAUCUGGUGAAACUAUAGACAAUUGGAGGUGGUUUCUGCAAUCGGAUGUCUUGCUGGAUUUUUUUUUAAUGUGAAAUGGUAUUAAUAAUGUUUUUU
Long non-coding RNA from Prunus persica (peach), 979 nucleotides. RefSeq lists it as uncharacterized. NCBI's taxonomy places the organism in Eukaryota, Viridiplantae, Streptophyta, Magnoliopsida, Rosales, Rosaceae. The transcript has 3 exons. The record is from RefSeq and is a predicted model, not a curated record.